Molecule: ribosomal RNA, 2078 nt
Filed under: Actinomadura sp. 7K507
Lineage: Bacteria; Bacillati; Actinomycetota; Actinomycetes; Streptosporangiales; Thermomonosporaceae
Description: partial 23S ribosomal RNA
Rfam family: Bacterial large subunit ribosomal RNA
Source: RNAcentral
UGUGUUCAAGUUUUUAAGGGCAUACGGUGGAUGCCUUGGCAUCAGGAGCCGAUGAAGGACGUGGGAGCCUGCGAUAUGCCUCGGGGAGUCGGCAACCAGACUUUGAUCCGGGGAUUUCCGAAUGGGGAAACCUGGCACUCGUCAUGGGGUGUCGCCGCCUGCUGAAUGUAUAGGCAGGUUGGUGGGAACGCGGGGAAGUGAAACAUCUCAGUACCCGCAGGAAGAGAAAACAAUUGUGAUUCCGUGAGUAGUGGUGAGCGAAAGCGGAGGAGCCUAAACCGUGCGCGUGUGAUACCUGGUAGGGGUUGCGUGUGCGGGGUUGUGGGAGCAUCCGGUUGGAUCUACCAGUCCAGCGAGAAGUUACAAACUGCUUGGGUAGUCGAAUGGCUUGGGAUGGCCGACCGUAGACGGUGAGAGUCCGGUAGACGAAAUCUGAGUGGCUUCUGGGUGUUUUCCCGAGUAGCACGGGGCCCGUGAAAUCCUGUGUGAAUCUGCCACGACCACGUGGUAAGGCUGAAUACUUCCUGGUGACCGAUAGCGGACUAGUACCGUGAGGGAAAGGUGAAAAGUGCCCCGGUGAGGGGUCGUGAAAGAGUACCUGAAACCGUGUGCCUACAAGCCGUCAGAGCCUCCUCCAGGACCUUUCGGGGUUGUGGUUGGUGAUGGCGUGCCUUUUGAAGAAUGAGCCUGCGAGUUAUGGUGUGUGGCGAGGUUAACCGGUGGCGGGUAGCCGUAGCGAAAGCGAGUCUGAAUAGGGCGUUUUUAGUCGCAUGCUGUAGACCCGAAGCGGGGUGAUCUAGCCAUGGGCAGGGUGAAGCGCCGGUAAGACGGUGUGGAGGCCCGAACCCACCAGGGUUGAAAACCUGGGGGAUGACCUGUGGUUAGGGGUGAAAGGCCAAUCAAACUCCGUGAUAGCUGGUUCUCCCCGAAAUGCAUUUAGGUGCAGCGUUGCGUGUUUCUUGCCGGAGGUAGAGCUACUGGAUGGCUGAUGGGCCCUACCAGGUUACUGACGUCAGCCAAACUCCGAAUGCCGGUAAGUGAAGCGUGGCAGUGAGACUGCGGGGGAUAAGCUUCGUAGUCGAGAGGGAAACAGCCCAGAUCAUCGGCUAAGGCCCCUAAGCGUGUGCUAAGUGGGAAAGGAUGUGGAGUUGCCUUGACAACCAGGAGGUUGGCUUAGAAGCAGCCAUCCUUGAAAGAGUGCGUAAUAGCUCACUGGUCAAGUGAUUCCGCGCCGAUAAUGUAGCGGGGCUCAAGCACACCGCCGAAGCCGUGGCACUUGCACCCUUUGGGGUGUGGGUGGGUAGGGGAGCGUCCUGCAGCCGGUGAAGCCGCCGAGUGAUCGAGUGGUGGAGGCUGUGGGAGUGAGAAUGCAGGCAUGAGUAGCGAAUCAAGAGUGAGAAACUCUUGCGCCGGAUGACUAAGGGUUCCUGGGGCAGGCUAAUCCGCCCAGGGUAAGUCGGGACCUAAGGCGAGGCCGACAGGCGUAGUCGAUGGACAACGGGUUGAUAUUCCCGUACCCGCUGGUAUGCGCCAACGCUGAACCCUCUGAUGCUAACCACCCGAUCCCCGGGUUGAGCCUUCGGGCUCUUGCUGGGGGGAGCGUGGGGCCCGAGGGGGUAGUAGGUGAGUGAUGGGGUGACGCAGGAGGGUAGCUCAGCCCAGGCGAUGGUUGUCCUGGGGUAAGCAUGUAGCCCGCGCUGUAGGUAAAUCCGCGGCGCACACAGGGUGAGAUGUGAUGCCGAGCCGUUUUAGGUGAAGUGAGUGAUCCCAUGCUGUCGAGAAAAGCCUCUAGCGAGUGUAUCGGCGGCCCGUACCCUAAACCGACUCAGGUGGUCAGGUAGAGAAUACCAAGGCGAUCGGGUGAACUGUGGUUAAGGAACUCGGCAAAUUGCCCCCGUAACUUUGGGAGAAGGGGGACCAUGCUUGGUGAUCGCCUUCGCGGCGGGAGCUGGGUGUGGUCGCAGUGGCCAGGGGGAAGCGACUGUUUACUAAAAACACAGGUCCGUGCGAAGUCGUAAGACGCUGUAUACGGACUGACGCCUGCCCGGUGCCGGAACGUUAAGAGGACCGGUUAGACC